Molecule: long non-coding RNA, 334 nt
Filed under: Malus domestica (apple)
Lineage: Eukaryota; Viridiplantae; Streptophyta; Magnoliopsida; Rosales; Rosaceae
Description: long non-coding RNA (MDOM_LNC019587)
Source: RNAcentral
AAAGUAGUCUUUUAAGCUACUUUCAUGUGUUUUCAGGUUUAAAGGACAUAUUACAUGAACUGAGGCAAGUUGGAGCUUUUGGAGCAAAAUAUGGGCUUGGAUUGAAAAAGACAUGCUUGGAACACAAGGUUGGGAUGGAAUUGAAGAUUUGAGGUUUCCUACUUGAAGUAGGAAAGCUAAGCCUAAAAGUUUCCAUUUUGGGUUGAUCUUUCCUAAAUCGGAAUUGGCAAUCAAAGUUUCUAAAGUUGGAAGUUUCUAUUCUUGGAGGUUUCCAUUUUCAUGAGUUUCUAUUCUCGGCUUUGGGCUUUUGGAUGACCCAUCCUCACUUCUUGGA